This 223-nucleotide long non-coding RNA is filed under the name Brassica napus (rape). RNAcentral's name for it is "long non-coding RNA (BNAP_LNC003621)". Lineage: Eukaryota; Viridiplantae; Streptophyta; Magnoliopsida; Brassicales; Brassicaceae. The record is from RNAcentral.
AGUGCCGAUUUUAAAAAUCUUUAGUUGAACUUGUCUCCAUCUGAAUAGAAAAAGAAAGAGAAUGGAAUAAUUGUUGUCAUUAUACAAAGCUUCAAGUGGAUUCUCGACGUCAUUUCAAUAAUACAUAAAACUAUUCUAUAAUCCCUCACUAAAACGUCGAGUCUUGGGUCUUGCUCCACGAAAAGUGCGCACUAAACAGCAAAUAACUAAGAACAAAAUAAUU